Small nucleolar RNA from Meriones unguiculatus (Mongolian gerbil), 133 nucleotides. NCBI's taxonomy places the organism in Eukaryota, Metazoa, Chordata, Mammalia, Rodentia, Muridae. The record is from Ensembl.
ACCGCCUUCUGAAGGCAGUGCAGGUGUGGCUGUUGUGUCACAAGUGUGUCAGUGGGUGGCAGAGAAGAGAGAGGCUAUGUCCACACUUAGUGCUCUGGCCUCUGAGCAUCUGAAUGACGAGUAGCCUAACACU